Molecule: transfer RNA, 77 nt
Filed under: Candidatus Peribacteraceae bacterium
Lineage: Bacteria; Candidatus Peregrinibacteriota; Candidatus Peribacteria; Candidatus Peribacterales
Description: tRNA-Trp
Rfam family: tRNA
About the family: Transfer RNA (tRNA) molecules are approximately 80 nucleotides in length. Their secondary structure includes four short double-helical elements and three loops (D, anti-codon, and T loops). Further hydrogen bonds mediate the characteristic L-shaped molecular structure. tRNAs have two regions of fundamental functional importance: the anti-codon, which is responsible for specific mRNA codon recognition, and the 3' end, to which the tRNAs corresponding amino acid is attached (by aminoacyl-tRNA synthetases). tRNAs cope with the degeneracy of the genetic code in two manners: having more than one tRNA (with a specific anti-codon) for a particular amino acid; and 'wobble' base-pairing, i.e. permitting non-standard base-pairing at the 3rd anti-codon position.
Source: RNAcentral
AGGCGCGUAGCUCAGCUGGCUAGAGCACUGGUCUCCAAAACCAGGGGUCGUAGGUUCGAGUCCUACCGCGCCUGCCA